Megalobrama amblycephala (Wuchang bream) is the source of this 1577-nucleotide long non-coding RNA. RefSeq lists it as uncharacterized. The record is from RefSeq and is a predicted model, not a curated record. Lineage: Eukaryota; Metazoa; Chordata; Actinopteri; Cypriniformes; Xenocyprididae. The transcript is spliced from 6 exons.
GAGGGUCUCGUCCACAUGAGAGGUGAGGGCUCGUGUGCGAUAGCGGCGCGUCAAAGCGCUGCUGCUCGACAGCUUCCCACUCGAAGACGCGGCGCUUUGAGGCUGAAAUAAUGUCAAAUGACCAACUAGUGCAGUAGGCGAUCUGGGAAAUGCUAACUUUAGCCUGCUAGCAUUGAAAGCAUACAAUCUCUCACUCUCCCUGCAAAGCGUCGUCCAAAGCCACUCCAAAACACAGGAACGCGCACAGACCACAAGAGAGACGACCAGAGACAACAUUAUUGCCUGGAUUACAUCAUGUGUUGUUCACAGAAACCAUGGAAACACCAAAGACGCUUGAAUGCAUUACACGUUUUAUUUGACAAGGGAACAACUGUCAGGCUUUAUCAGAAUCAACAGGUGUUUAUUUAAACAGAGGCACGGACACUGGCAACGGAGAGUAUGAGUCAAUGAACAAGUACUUUGGAACAGUGACUUAGCUGGAGAGUUAAUAGAUGAAUGUCUUUGCAGGUGACGGGUCCACAGGGAAUAGAGAGCUGAUGACAGAUGGAAGAGGAUUCGGGGAUACAGGUGCAGGUGAUUGGUAACUGAGUGCAGGUGAGGAAACAGAGGGAUGCUGGGAAAUGGAGUUCUGGGAAGGCCACGACUGCCCCGAGAUUGCACAGACUGCAUGGAGAUUAAGCCAGUGUCCACCACAGAUGGAGAGCUUACGCCUUCGAUGAAGGAGCCAGAGCCCCAUUGUGAGUCUGACUAGGUGUGUGAGCUACAACGUGUGUCGUCGUGGGGUUACUGGUGGAGUUCGAGUGUUUGGAGGAAAACCCCAUCCACUACCCUACUGCUGAGGCCCCACCUCUGCUGGUUCCCUACAGCCCCUCGACUUCUCCUCUAACACCAUUCUGUUGUGUGGAUAAGCCUCAGGAUUUCCAGUCUCCAGCGUUGCCCAGGCAAGUGGAUCUCCCAGCAUUGGUGCCGUGACCCGGAUGGGAGUGAGGUUUAGGAGGGUGAGUGUAACGGAGGCCAGCUAGUGAGAGCUGUGCAGGUAAACCUAACUCCCCUGAUCCCAAGAGGUACGACUGAUGCUAGAGACUGUGGUCUUUAGCAUCCUUGUUAGGGCAUCCCCCUUCCACGCUGGAGAUGCCGAUUUGAGUCCCGCUUGAAGCAGUGGUGAGAAGGACCGGAGGGUUUACAUAUGGCUUGAGUAGGAAUUAUUUUAAUGAGUAAUAUUGUAACAUCCUUGUUUCCUGAAAUAAACUCAAGACUACACUCACUCCAUACUCCCUUUGUGCUUUGUAACUUUGCAGACCUUUUUCUUGCUCUAACAGCAACAUUAUACACUAUAUAAACUAAAGAAAGUAAAAAAAAAAAAAGAGAGAAGUAAACAACAAAACAAAAAACAAUAGAUCCUCUUUAAAUAUUUAAGUAUUUUAGUGUGGUUACUGGUGCUCACCAAGGACGUCUACACAAGUGAUCUCAAAAUUCCAAACAUACACGGAAUACAGUACCUCAGGGAUGAGUAUACAGUACCCGGAAUACAGUACCCAGAGGUGAGUUAGCAUUUUAGGACUUCCGGUUCCAUGGCC